UCUAUCUUUCUGCUGCUUUCCAUCUUCGCUGACAAGGCAUGUCCAUUGAUAAGUGUGUAAAUUUGCCCAUAGAAGUAUUAAUUUAUCAAUCAAAUUAUCUUUAUUUUUUUAAAAUUGAUGCUUCUUCGUAUAUUUUAUAGAAAAAAGUACAUCAAAAUGAAGAGCCCAAUCCGCAGGCUUAAAAGGAUCAAAUGGGACAAAAAAAAUAGAGUUAAAAUAGAUUUAAAAUCAAAACUGAAAAUCCACCGAAUCAAUCUAUAAACUAAUGGUCCACCAUGGACCACUUGGUUUUCAUGUGGUUCACAAAGGAAAGAAUUUUUUGUUUUGGGUGCUUCAUGUGGAGGGAACCAAUAGUUCUUGAUUCAAAACUAAGAGGCCCACAUGCAUUGAAAGCAGAAGAAACAUUUUUUUUGUGGGUGCUGGAACGGCUUAUUCAUGAGGGAAGAAUAAAUAAAUAAAUAAAUAAAUA
This 469-nucleotide long non-coding RNA is filed under the name Elaeis guineensis (African oil palm). RNAcentral describes it as "long non-coding RNA (EGUI_LNC007115)". Lineage: Eukaryota; Viridiplantae; Streptophyta; Magnoliopsida; Arecales; Arecaceae. The record is from RNAcentral.